AGAGAGCGGCGUACGGGUGCGUAACACGUGUGCAACCUACCUUUAUCAGGGGAAUAGCCUUUCGAAAGGAAGAUUAAUACUCCAUAAUAUAUUAGAUGGCAUCAUUUAAUAUUGAAAACUCCGGUGGAUAGAGAUGGGCACGCGCAAGAUUAGAUAGUUGGUGAGGUAACGGCUCACCAAGUCAAUGAUCUUUAGGGGUCCUGAGAGGGAGAUCCCCCACACUGGUACUGAGACACGGACCAGACUCCUACGGGAGGCAGCAGUGAGGAAUAUUGGACAAUGGGUGAGAGCCUGAUCCAGCCAUCCCGCGUGAAGGAUGACGGUCCUAUGGAUUGUAAACUUCUUUUGUAUAGGAAUAAACCUACCCUCGUGAGGGUAGCUGAAGGUACUAUACGAAUAAGCACCGGCUAACUCCGUGCCAGCAGCCGCGGUAAUACGGAGGGUGCAAGCGUUAUCCGGAUUUAUUGGGUUUAAAGGGUCCGUAGGCGGACCGAUAAGUCAGUGGUGAAAUCUCAUAGCUUAACUAUGAAACUGCCGUUGAUACUGUCGGUCUUGAGUAAAUUAGAGGUAGCUGGAAUAAGUAGUGUAGCGGUGAAAUGCAUAGAUAUUACUUAGAACACCAAUUGCGAAGGCAGGUUACCAUGAUUUAACUGACGCUGAGGGACGAAAGCGUGGGGAGCGAACAGGAUUAGAUACCCUGGUAGUCCACGCCGUAAACGAUGCUAACUCGUUUUUGGGGCGCAAGCUUCAGAGACCA
Molecule: ribosomal RNA, 757 nt
Filed under: Chryseobacterium sp.
Lineage: Bacteria; Pseudomonadati; Bacteroidota; Flavobacteriia; Flavobacteriales; Weeksellaceae
Description: bacterial SSU rRNA
Rfam family: Bacterial small subunit ribosomal RNA
Source: RNAcentral